AAAGGUUUAAUGUUGGGGCAAAUUGGCAAGUGUCCCGAGUCGCACAAGUAAUAUAAAAUGGUAAGAUCAAAUAUUGUAUCCCAGAGGACUUUCGGCUCUGAACAGUCGUGUGAAAACAAGAUUAAUUAAGACUUAGAAUAAAAGAGAUCAUGGGUUGUUGUUAAGUCCCCGAUAAGUGUACCAGAUCGUUAUCAAGUAAUAUAAAAUGGGUAAGUCCAAGUAUCGUUUUCUAAAGGAAUCUUAGGCCUUAACUUUCAUGUAAAGAGAUCGCAUAAGACUUGAGAAAAGAAUUAAAUUUAGGUUUUUGAAUGCAAGAAAAAUAAACAUGAAAGAUGCAAUGAAUCAAUUGGCUAGAAGAAACUAUAGAUUAAUGGAGUUGUUGGGGUUUACAAUUUCAUCUUAUCCACCC
Molecule: long non-coding RNA, 409 nt
Filed under: Vigna radiata
Lineage: Eukaryota; Viridiplantae; Streptophyta; Magnoliopsida; Fabales; Fabaceae
Description: long non-coding RNA (VRAD_LNC011455)
Source: RNAcentral